This 492-nucleotide ribosomal RNA is filed under the name Crossodactylus aeneus (Mueller's spinythumb frog). Its description in RNAcentral is "partial small subunit ribosomal RNA". It matches the Rfam family "Bacterial small subunit ribosomal RNA", at positions 794 to 1522 of the family's 1533-position model. The record is from RNAcentral. Lineage: Eukaryota; Metazoa; Chordata; Amphibia; Anura; Hylodidae.
GUCCAGCCGUAAACUUUAAAUUACCCCAUAUACCGCCAGGGAACUACGAGCUAAGCUUAAAACCCAAAGGACUUGACGGUACCCCAUGUCCCUCUAGAGGAGCCUGUCCUAUAAUCGAUAACCCCCGUUUAACCUCACCAUUUUUAGCUAAUCAGUUUGUAUACCUCCGUCGCCAGCUUACCACGUGAGCGAAGUAUAGUGAGCUUAAUGUCCACACGCCAACACGUCAGGUCAAGGUGCAACAAAUAAAAUGGAAAGAGAUGGGCUACACUUUCUAAUUUAGAAAAUACGAAAAACUAUUUAUGAAAUUCUAGUUUGAAGGCGGAUUUAGUAGUAAAAAGAAACCAGAGUGUUCUUUUUAACAAGGCCCUGGGGUGUGUACACACCGCCCGUCACCCUCUUCAAAGCUAUUUAUUAGUUAUUAACAAAUUUUUGCAUUAUAGAAGAGGCAAGUCGUAACAUGGUAAGUAUACCGGAAGGUGUGCUUGGAAU